RNAcentral lists this ribosomal RNA (914 nucleotides) under uncultured Acinetobacter sp. RNAcentral's name for it is "bacterial SSU rRNA". It matches the Rfam family "Bacterial small subunit ribosomal RNA", at positions 61 to 970 of the family's 1533-position model. The record is from RNAcentral. Lineage: Bacteria; Pseudomonadati; Pseudomonadota; Gammaproteobacteria; Moraxellales; Moraxellaceae.
GUCGAGCGGAGAUGAGGUGCUUGCACCUUAUCUUAGCGGCGGACGGGUGAGUAAUGCUUAGGAAUCUGCCUAUUAGUGGGGGACAACAUUCCGAAAGGAAUGCUAAUACCGCAUACGUCCUACGGGAGAAAGCAGGGGAUCUUCGGACCUUGCGCUAAUAGAUGAGCCUAAGUCGGAUUAGCUAGUUGGUGGGGUAAAGGCCUACCAAGGCGACGAUCUGUAGCGGGUCUGAGAGGAUGAUCCGCCACACUGGGACUGAGACACGGCCCAGACUCCUACGGGAGGCAGCAGUGGGGAAUAUUGGACAAUGGGGGGAACCCUGAUCCAGCCAUGCCGCGUGUGUGAAGAAGGCCUUAUGGUUGUAAAGCACUUUAAGCGAGGAGGAGGCUACUGAGACUAAUACUCUUGGAUAGUGGACGUUACUCGCAGAAUAAGCACCGGCUAACUCUGUGCCAGCAGCCGCGGUAAUACAGAGGGUGCGAGCGUUAAUCGGAUUUACUGGGCGUAAAGCGUGCGUAGGCGGCUUUUUAAGUCGGAUGUGAAAUCCCCGAGCUUAACUUGGGAAUUGCAUUCGAUACUGGGAAGCUAGAGUAUGGGAGAGGAUGGUAGAAUUCCAGGUGUAGCGGUGAAAUGCGUAGAGAUCUGGAGGAAUACCGAUGGCGAAGGCAGCCAUCUGGCCUAAUACUGACGCUGAGGUACGAAAGCAUGGGGAGCAAACAGGAUUAGAUACCCUGGUAGUCCAUGCCGUAAACGAUGUCUACUACCGUUGGGGCCUUUGAGGCUUUAGUGGCGCAGCUAACGCGAUAAGUAGACCGCCUGGGGAGUACGGUCGCAAGACUAAAACUCAAAUGAAUUGACGGGGGCCCGCACAAGCGGUGGAGCAUGUGGUUUAUUUCGAUGCAACGCGAAGAACC